Molecule: ribosomal RNA, 460 nt
Filed under: uncultured bacterium
Lineage: Bacteria
Description: partial 16S ribosomal RNA
Rfam family: Bacterial small subunit ribosomal RNA
Source: RNAcentral
CCUACGGGGGGCUGCAGUGAGGAAUAUUGGUCAAUGGACGAGAGCCUGAACCAGCCAAGUAGCGUGAAGGAUGACUGCCCUAUGGGUUGUAAACUUCUUUUAUAUGGGAAUAAAAUGUUCCACGUGUGGGAUUUUGUAUGUACCAUAUGAAUAAGGAUCGGCUGACUCCGUGCCAGCAGCCGCGGUAAUACGGAGGAUCCGAGCGUUAUCCGGAUUUAUUGGGUUUAACGGGAGCGGAGGUGGAUUGUUAAGUCAGUUGUGAAAGUUUGCGGCUCAACCGUAAAAUUGCAGUUGAAACUGGCAGUCUUGAGUACAGGAGAGGUGGGCGGAAUUCGUGGUGUAGCGGUGAAAUGCUUAGAUAUCACGAAGAACUCCGAUUGCGAAGGCAGCUCACUGGACUGCAACUGACACUGAGGCUCGAAAGUGUGGGUAUCAAACAGGAUUAGAUACCCCUGUAGUC